RNAcentral lists this ribosomal RNA (459 nucleotides) under Triticum aestivum (bread wheat). Its description in RNAcentral is "partial small subunit ribosomal RNA". The record is from RNAcentral. Lineage: Eukaryota; Viridiplantae; Streptophyta; Magnoliopsida; Poales; Poaceae.
AUGUUUCGCUCCAUGAAGUUAAUCCUCAUUACAUAUCUCUUUCUUGAACUUCAGUUUUUUCUAUUGAUUGGGAUUAGGAAAGGGAAACUAAAUUUUUUGCUCAUGACUUGUAAGCUGCAGCAAAAGCUUGCAAUUUCUAAUUUCCUAGCCAACCAGGUGCAUGUGUUUCAUGCCUUUCCUAAACUUUUUUAUUUAACUAGCUGUGUUCUUAAUUUUUAUCAUCUUGUAUCAUAUAUUUGUGUUCUAAUUAUCAAGAUUGCUAUUGAUUUGGCAAGAUUGUAUUUGGAAAGUAUUCAUCUGACUAUGAGAAGAAAAAAACAUGCAUAUGAGUUGAUUGAGCCUGAGAAAGGAGUUGUUUACAUUUAUUCAGAGCACAUACAAGUAGUAUUUCUACCGCUUAGGAAUUUUGUGGAAUUAGUUUUAGUAUUUAUUGAAGAGCAACUUAGUGAAGGAUUAUAG